CAGCCGCCGCGGUAAUACCGGCGGCCCGAGUGGCGGUCACUAUUAUUGGGCUUAAAGCGUCCGUAGCCCGGUUGGGAAGUCCUCCGGGAAAUCUGGCCGCCUAAAGGUCAGAAUGCCGGAGGAUACUCCCAGCCUAGGGAGCGGGAGAGGCCGAGGGGAUUCCCGGAGGAGGGGUGGAAUCCUAUAAUCCCGGGAGGACCACCUGUGGCGAACGCGCUCGGCUGGAACGCGUCCGACGGUGAGGGACGAAGGCCAGGGGAGCAAACCGGAUUAGAUACCCGGGUAGUCCUGGCUGUAAACGAUGCGGACUUUGUGUCGGACAAGCUAUGAGCUUGUCCGGUGCCGGAGGGAAACCGUUAAGUCCGCCGCCUGGGGAGUACGGCCGCAAGGUUGAAACUUAAAGGAAUUGGCGGG
RNAcentral lists this ribosomal RNA (414 nucleotides) under uncultured microorganism. Its description in RNAcentral is "bacterial SSU rRNA". It matches the Rfam family "Archaeal small subunit ribosomal RNA", at positions 459 to 872 of the family's 1478-position model. The record is from RNAcentral.